UGUACGGGAUACGCUUGGAUCCUACGGCGGCUCCUACUUUCGGUGGUGCUGUCGGAAGGUUCGGUGUAUCCCGUCUUGCGAUGGGACGACGCAUGAGUGGUGUCUAGGAUAUGUUUCCAUGCAGGCUCCUUGUAUCUUUCAUCGAACUGCGUGGGUCUAUCUAUUUCAUUCGUGGGUUCGCCUCGACGUACUCAGGUUCGGUUGCGAAUACUCGUUGUGUUACCGUGCUCGAUAUUGAAUUAUGUAGUUGGAUGGAUCGGUGUUCCUCGUAUUGUUUAAUUGAUUCUCCUCUGCCAUGCGCGGCGAUGGUGGAUAUGGUGCGGGCAUCGACGUUGUACUUUCGAGCCGUCGUCCCCUUUGGGCGCUUCUGCUUUUGAUGGCACGUUGAUGCUGCCGGCUCUUUCGGGUGCGGAGAUUUCCUGGUUGUCGCUUUGGUCUUGGACCUUUGUGAACGUAUUGUAACGAAGCAUUCUUGCUUCUGCACGUAUGACCCUCGUGCUCGUCUAAGAGCUCACGGAGCCCCUUCGCUCGGUGUUCUUCUAGGGGAGCCAUCGAGGUGUACAGAAGAGUGCUACCUGGUUGAU
Molecule: unclassified non-coding RNA, 584 nt
Filed under: Henriettea megaloclada
Lineage: Eukaryota; Viridiplantae; Streptophyta; Magnoliopsida; Myrtales; Melastomataceae
Description: partial contains external transcribed spacer and 18S ribosomal RNA
Source: RNAcentral